GAUGAACGCUGGCGGCGUGCCUAAUACAUGCAAGUCGAGCGAACAGAUGAGAUACUUUCUCCUCUGACGUUAGCGGCAAACGGGUGGUUAACACGUGGAUAACCUGCAUAUAAGACUGGGAUAACUUCGGGAAACCGGUGCUAAUACCGGAUAAUAUAUGUAACCACAAGUUUCAAUAGGGAAAGACGGUUUUGCUCUCACUUGUAGAUUAAUGCGUUCCGAAGUAGCUAGUUGGUAAGGGAACUGCUUAACAAGGCAACGAUGCUGAGCCGACAUGAGAGGGAGAACGGCCACACUGGCACAGAGAGACGGUCCCGACACUGAAGGGAGGACGCAGUCGGGACUCUUACGCAAUGCGCGAAUACCUAACGGAGCAAAGCCGCGUGAGUCAUGACGGUCUUCGGAGCGUAAACGUUUGUUAUCAGCGAAGAACAAAUGUGUAAGUACCUAUGCACGUAUUGACGGUACCUAACCAGACAGCCACGGCUAACUACGUG
This 497-nucleotide ribosomal RNA is filed under the name uncultured bacterium. RNAcentral describes it as "partial 16S ribosomal RNA". It matches the Rfam family "Bacterial small subunit ribosomal RNA", at positions 28 to 507 of the family's 1533-position model. The record is from RNAcentral.